This 241-nucleotide long non-coding RNA is filed under the name Callithrix jacchus (white-tufted-ear marmoset). RNAcentral's name for it is "lncRNA (ENSCJAG00000070099.1)". The record is from RNAcentral. Lineage: Eukaryota; Metazoa; Chordata; Mammalia; Primates; Cebidae.
AGGUCAUGUUGAUAUCAGGCACGUCACAGAGCCCUGAUUCUAGAAGGUGCCUUUAUCAUCUGAUCCUGUUUCUUAGUUUUUCAUGAGAUCCUUGAGUUCCCAAAAUGCAUCUAAUCUAAGCUAUCAACCAGGAUUUCUUUCUGUUACUCAGGCUGGAAUGCAGUGGUGGGAUCAUAGCUCACUAUAGCCUUGAACUCCUGGACUCAAGCCAUCCUUCUGCCUCAGCCUCCUGAGUAGCUGU